GGGGAAUAUUGGACAAUGGGCGCAAGCCUGAUCCAGCCAUGCCGCGUGUGUGAAGAAGGCCUUUUGGUUGUAAAGCACUUUAAGCGAGGAGGAGGCUACUGGUAUUAAUACUACCGGAUAGUGGACGUUACUCGCAGAAUAAGCACCGGCUAACUCUGUGCCAGCAGCCGCGGUAAUACAGAGGGUGCGAGCGUUAAUCGGAUUUACUGGGCGUAAAGCGUGCGUAGGUGGCCAAUUAAGUCAAAUGUGAAAUCCCCGAGCUUAACUUGGGAAUUGCAUUCGAUACUGGUUGGCUAGAGUAUGGGAGAGGAUGGUAGAAUUCCAGGUGUAGCGGUGAAAUGCGUAGAGAUCUGGAGGAAUACCGAUGGCGAAGGCAGCCAUCUGGCCUAAUACUGACACUGAGGUACGAAAGCAUGGGGAGCAAAC
RNAcentral lists this ribosomal RNA (426 nucleotides) under uncultured bacterium. RNAcentral describes it as "bacterial SSU rRNA". It matches the Rfam family "Bacterial small subunit ribosomal RNA", at positions 356 to 773 of the family's 1533-position model. The record is from RNAcentral.